GAUGAAGAACGUAGCGAAACGCGAUAUGUAAUGUGAAUUGCAGAAUUCAGUGAAUCAUCGAAUCUUUGAACGCACAUUGCGCCCCUUGGUAUUCCGAGGGGCAUGCCUGUUCGAGCGUCAUAUUAACCACUCCCGCUUGCGGGGUCUUGGGCUUCGCCUCCGGGCGGGCCUUAAAAUCAGUGGCGGUGCCGUCGGGCUCUACGCGUAGUAAAUUUUCUCGCGAUAGGGUCCCGGUGGAUGCUUGCCAACAACCCCCAACUUCUUAAGGUUGACCUCGGAUCAGGUAGGGAUACCCGCUGAACUUAAGCAUAUCAAUAAGCGGAGGA
This 326-nucleotide unclassified non-coding RNA is filed under the name soil metagenome. RNAcentral's name for it is "partial contains 5.8S ribosomal RNA, internal transcribed spacer 2, and large subunit ribosomal RNA". The stretch from base 1 to 120 matches the Rfam family "5.8S ribosomal RNA", at positions 35 to 154 of the family's 154-position model. The record is from RNAcentral.